CAAACCUAAACCUAACGCCUAGCUAACUCUCCUCCAGUUCUCUUCUUAUCUGAGAAGGGAAAAGAAAAGCAAAACGGAGGAUGGAUUAAUAUUAUUAGGUUUGAUGGGCAUCCUGUGGCUGAGAUGGUGCCAAUAAUACCACUGUUGGUUGUACAUGAUAUAUGCGAUAAUCUGCAAGUUUAGGAGCCUUUUCUUCCCAGUCAUGUUGAAGUUCUGUGCUCUCUCUUCCACCUAUAAUUCUUCAUUGUUUCAGAUUUGGGCUCUAGGGUUUUGCUUAUAUAUUAAUAUUGCGUGUUCCAUAAUGUU
RNAcentral lists this unclassified non-coding RNA (306 nucleotides) under Hevea brasiliensis (rubber tree). Lineage: Eukaryota; Viridiplantae; Streptophyta; Magnoliopsida; Malpighiales; Euphorbiaceae. The record is from RNAcentral.